Molecule: ribosomal RNA, 460 nt
Filed under: uncultured bacterium
Lineage: Bacteria
Description: partial 16S ribosomal RNA
Rfam family: Bacterial small subunit ribosomal RNA
Source: RNAcentral
CCUACGGGCGGCAGCAGUGAGGAAUAUUGGUCAAUGGACGAGAGUCUGAACCAGCCAAGUAGCGUGAAGGAUGACUGCCCUAUGGGUUGUAAACUUCUUUUAUAUGGGAAUAAAAUGUUCCACGUGUGGGAUUUUGUAUGUACCAUAUGAAUAAGGAUCGGCUAACUCCGUGCCAGCAGCCGCGGUAAUACGGAGGAUCCGAGCGUUAUCCGGAUUUAUUGGGUUUAAAGGGAGCGUAGGUGGAUUGUUAAGUCAGUUGUGAAAGUUUGCGGCUCAACCGUAAAAUUGCAGUUGAAACUGGCAGUCUUGAGUACAGUAGAGGUGGGCGGAAUUCGUGGUGGAGCGGUGAAAUGCUUAGAUAUCACGAAGAACUCCGAUUGCGAAGGCAGUUCACUGGACUGCAACUGACACUGAGGCUCGAAAGUGUGGGUAUCAAACAGGAUUAGAUACCCCUGUAGUC